UACGGAGGGUGCAAGCGUUAUCCGGAUUCACUGGGUUUAAAGGGUGCGUAGGUGGGCAGGUAAGUCAGUGGUGAAAUCUCCGGGCUUAACCCGGAAACUGCCAUUGAUACUAUCAGUCUUGAAUACCGUGGAGGUAAGCGGAAUAUGUCAUGUAGCGGUGAAAUGCUUAGAUAUGACAUAGAACACCAAUUGCGAAGGCAGCUUACUAGCCGAAUAUUGACACUGAGGCACGAAAGCGUGGGGAGCGAACGGG
RNAcentral lists this ribosomal RNA (253 nucleotides) under uncultured bacterium. RNAcentral describes it as "partial 16S ribosomal RNA". It matches the Rfam family "Bacterial small subunit ribosomal RNA", at positions 524 to 776 of the family's 1533-position model. The record is from RNAcentral.